GCUGGACUCACAAUUUAUAUGUAUGUCUUGCAAUAAAAAUACAUUGAAGAUGUAUACGUGUAAUAGGACAAGACUCAUUUUGAAUUCAUCGAUUUUAAAUCUUCGAACUCGUACAACAUAAUACUACUACUAUGAUCUGCUCUUCUCUCUAUAGGAUGGCAGAGAAAUUAACUUAUAUUCUCACACAUAAAAGGGUAAUUAAGGAGAUCUUACUUGUGGAAAUAAUUAAUAUCAACUAAUUUCAAGAAUCUCCAUGCUUUUUCCAUCUAACAAGCAUACCAAUGCAUCUCUUUACAAUAUAAAAUUUUGACUUCUGUUCCUUAGCCAAAUUACUGCAUUUGCUUCUAAAAUUAGCACACCUUUGUGAUGCACUUUUUGUAAGUCGACAUUUUGAAGUGGAACUCUUUUGUGAAGAACUCCUUGAAAGUGAUGAUUUGUGUGGAUUUUUUUGUGAAAGACUUCUUGGAAGAGAAGAAAUAUUUGAGUUUGGGCUUUUUUGGGAAAAACUCCUAAAUAAAGAGGAUGACUUAUUAUUUGAAGAUGAAUAUGAAUUACAACAUGGAUCAUCCUUUGAUAAUUUCCAUCUCUCAUCCAUGUAAUAUUCCAUUUUACGAACUAUGCACGACGGAUUCUCACAAAAUAAUUGGAUGUAGA
This 654-nucleotide unclassified non-coding RNA is filed under the name Hevea brasiliensis (rubber tree). The record is from RNAcentral. Lineage: Eukaryota; Viridiplantae; Streptophyta; Magnoliopsida; Malpighiales; Euphorbiaceae.